This 299-nucleotide unclassified non-coding RNA is filed under the name plant metagenome. Its description in RNAcentral is "partial contains 5.8S ribosomal RNA, internal transcribed spacer 2, and large subunit ribosomal RNA". The stretch from base 1 to 105 matches the Rfam family "5.8S ribosomal RNA", at positions 50 to 154 of the family's 154-position model. The record is from RNAcentral.
GAAAUGCGAUAAGUAAUGUGAAUUGCAGAAUUCAGUGAAUCAUCGAAUCUUUGAACGCACAUUGCGCCCCCUGGUAUUCCGGGGGGCAUGCCUGUUCGAGCGUCAUUUCACCACUCAAGCCUCGCUUGGUAUUGGGCGACGCGGUCCGCCGCGCGCCUCAAAUCGACCGGCUGGGUCUUCCGUCCCCUCAGCGUUGUGGAAACUAUUCGCUAAAGGGUGCCGCGGGAGGUCACGCCGCAAAACAACCCCAUUUCUAAGUUUGACCUCGGAUCAGGUAGGGAUACCCGCUGAACUUAAGC